CGAUGAACCCAACUUCGGUGGGGGAUUAGUGGCGAACGGGUGAGUAACACGUGGGCAAUCUGCCCUGCACUCUGGGACAAGCCCUGGAAACGGGGUCUAAUACCGGAUACGACCACUUCAGGCAUCUGAUGGUGGUGGAAAGCUCCGGCGGUGCAGGAUGAGCCCGCGGCCUAUCAGCUUGUUGGUGAGGUAACGGCUCACCAAGGCGACGACGGGUAGCCGGCCUGAGAGGGCGACCGGCCACACUGGGACUGAGACACGGCCCAGACUCCUACGGGAGGCAGCAGUGGGGAAUAUUGCACAAUGGGCGAAAGCCUGAUGCAGCGACGCCGCGUGAGGGAUGACGGCCUUCGGGUUGUAAACCUCUUUCAGCAGGGAAGAAGCGAAAGUGACGGUACCUGCAGAAGAAGCGCCGGCUAACUACGUGCCAGCAGCCGCGGUAAUACGUAGGGCGCAAGCGUUGUCCGGAAUUAUUGGGCGUAAAGAGCUCGUAGGCGGCUUGUCGCGUCGGAUGUGAAAGCCCGGGGCUUAACCCCGGGUCUGCAUUCGAUACGGGCAGGCUAGAGUUCGGUAGGGGAGAUCGGAAUUCCUGGUGUAGCGGUGAAAUGCGCAGAUAUCAGGAGGAACACCGGUGGCGAAGGCGGAUCUCUGGGCCGAUACUGACGCUGAGGAGCGAAAGCGUGGGGAGCGAACAGGAUUAGAUACCCUGGUAGUCCACGCCGUAAACGUUGGGAACUAGGUGUGGGCGACAUUCCACGUCGUCCGUGCCGCAGCUAACGCAUUAAGUUCCCCGCCUGGGGAGUAC
Molecule: ribosomal RNA, 805 nt
Filed under: Streptomyces sp.
Lineage: Bacteria; Bacillati; Actinomycetota; Actinomycetes; Kitasatosporales; Streptomycetaceae
Description: bacterial SSU rRNA
Rfam family: Bacterial small subunit ribosomal RNA
Source: RNAcentral